AUUGAACGCUGGCGGCAGACCUAACACAUGCAAGUAGAACGAGUGGCGGACGGGUGAGUAAUGUCUGGGAAACUGCCCGAUGGAGGGGGAUAACUACUGGAAAAGGUAGCUAAUACCGCAUACGAUCGGAUGUUCCCAGAUGGGAUUAGCUAGUCGUUGGGGUAAUGGCUCCCCUAGGCGACGAUCCCUAGCUGGUCUGAGAGGAUGACCAGCCACACUGGAACGUAGACACGGUCCAGACGCCUACGGGAGGAAGCAGUGGGGAAUAUUGCACAAUGGGCGCAAGCCUGAUGCAGCCAUGCCGCGUGGAUGAAGAAGGCCUUCGGGUUGUAAAGUACUUUCAGCGAGGAGGCGUUACUCGCAGAAGAAGCACCGGCUAACUCCGUGCCAGCAGCCACGGUAAUAC
Molecule: ribosomal RNA, 406 nt
Filed under: uncultured bacterium
Lineage: Bacteria
Description: partial 16S ribosomal RNA
Rfam family: Bacterial small subunit ribosomal RNA
Source: RNAcentral